GGUCAUCAUCAUCUGUGAGUGCCUGAUGUGUGUGUGUUCCCAUGUUCCUGUGUGUGUGUUCCCAUGUUCCUGUGUGUGUGUUCCCAUGUUCCUGUGUGUGUGUUCCCAUGUUCCUGUGUGUGUGUUCCCAUGUUCCUGUGUGUGUGUUCUCAUGUUCCUGUGUGUGUGUUCCCAUGUUCCUGUGUGUGUGUUCCCAUGUUCCUGUGUGUGUGUUCCCAUGUUCCUGUGUGUGUGUUCUCAUGUUCCUGUGUGUGUGGGUUCUCAUGUUCCUGUGUGUGUGUUCUCAUGUUCCUGUGUGUGUGUUCCCAUGUUCCUGUGUGUGUGUUCCCAUGUUCCUGUGUGUGUGUUCCCAUGUUCCUGUGUGUGUGUUCUCAUGUUCCUGUGUGUGUGUUCCCAUGUUCAUGUGUGUGUGUUCCCAUGUUCCUGUGUGUGUGUUCCCAUGUUCCUGUGUGUGUGUUCUCAUGUUCCUGUGUGUGUGGGUUCUCAUGUUCCUGUGUGUGUGUUCUCAUGUUCCUGUGUGUAUGUUCCCAUGUUCCUGUGUGUGUGUUCCCAUGUUCCUGUGUGUAUGUUCCCAUGUUCCUGUGUGUGUGUUCUCAUGUUCCUGUGUGUGUGUUCUCGUGUUCCUGUGUGUGUGGGUUCUCAUGUUCCUGUGUGUGUGUUCCCAUGUUCCUGUGUGUGUGUUCCCAUGUUCCUGUGUGUAUGUUCCCAUGUUCCUGUGUGUGUGUUCUCGUGUUCCUGUGUGUGUGGGUUCUCAUGUUCCUGUGUGUGUGUUCCAAAGUUCCUGUGAGUAUGUUCCAAAGUUCCUUUGUGUGUGUUCCCAUGUUCCUGUGUGUGUGUUCUCAUGUUCCUGUGUGUGUGUUCCCAUGUUCCUGUGUGUGUGUUCCCAUGUUCCUGUGUGUGGGUUCUCAUGUUCCUGUGUGUGUGUUCUCGUGUUCCUGUGUGUGUGUUCUCAUGUUCCUGUGUGUGUGUUCCCAUGUUCCUGUGUGUGUGUUCUCAUGUUCCUGUGUGUGUGUUCCCAUGUUCCUGUGUGUGUGUUCCCAUGUUCCUGUGUGUGUGUUCUCAUGUUCCUGUGUGUGUGUUCCCAUGUUCCUGUGUGUGUGUUCCCAUGUUCCUGUGUGUGUGUUCUCAUGUUCCUGUGUGUGUGUGUUCCCAUGUUCCUGUGUGUGUGUUCCCAUGUUCCUGUGUGUAUGUUCCCAUGUUCCUGUGUGUGUGUUCUCGUGUUCCUGUGUGUGUGGGUUCUCAUGUUCCUGUGUGUGUGUUCCAAAGUUCCUGUGAGUAUGUUCCAAAGUUCCUUUGUGUGUGUUCCCAUGUUCCUGUGUGUGUGUUCUCAUGUUCCUGUGUGUGUGUUCCCAUGUUCCUGUGUGUGUGUUCCCAUGUUCCUGUGUGUGGGUUCUCAUGUUCCUGUGUGUGUGUUCUCGUGUUCCUGUGUGUGUGUUCUCAUGUUCCUGUGUGUGUGUUCCCAUGUUCCUGUGUGUGUGUUCUCAUGUUCCUGUGUGUGUGUUCCCAUGUUCCUGUGUGUGUGUUCCCAUGUUCCUGUGUGUGUGUUCUCAUGUUCCUGUGUGUGUGUUCCCAUGUUCCUGUGUGUGUGUUCCCAUGUUCCUGUGUGUGUGUUCUCAUGUUCCUGUGUGUGUGGGUUCUCAUGUUCCUGUGUGUGUGUUCUCAUGUUCCUGUGUGUAUGUUCCCAUGUUCCUGUGUGUGUGUUCCCAUGUUCCUGUGUGUAUGUUCCCAUGUUCCUGUGUGUGUGUUCUCAUGUUCCUGUGUGUGUGUUCUCGUGUUCCUGUGUGUGUGGGUUCUCAUGUUCCUGUGUGUGUGUUCCCAUGUUCCUGUGUGUGUGUUCCCAUGUUCCUGUGUGUAUGUUCCCAUGUUCCUGUGUGUGUGUUCUCGUGUUCCUGUGUGUGUGGGUUCUCAUGUUCCUGUGUUCCUGUGUGUAUGUUCCAAAGUUCAUGUGUGUAUGUUCCCAUGUUCCUGUGUGUGUGUUCCCAUGUUCCUGUGUGUGUGUUCCCAUGUUCCUGUGUGUGUGUUCCCAUGUUCCUGUGUGUAUGUUCUCAUGUUCCUGUGUGUAUGUUCCAAUGUUCCUGUGUGUAUGUUCCAAAGUUCCUGUGUGUAUGUUCCCAUGUUCCUGUGUGUGUGUUCCCAUGUUCCUGUGUGUAUGUUCCCAUGUUCCUGUGGGUAUGUUCUCAUGUUCCUGUGUGUGUGUUCCCAUGUUCCUGUGUGUGUGUUCCCAUGUUCCUGUGUGUAUGUUCCCAUGUUCCUGUGUGUGUGUUCUCAUGUUCCUGUGUGUGUGUUCCCAUGUUCCUGUGUGUAUGUUCCCAUGUUCCUGUGUGUGUGUUCCCAUGUUCCUGUGUGUGUGUUCCCAUGUUCCUGUGUGUAUGUUCCCAUGUUCCUGUGUGUGUGUUCCCAUGUUCCUGUGUGUGUGUUCCCAUGUUCCUGUGUGUAUGUUCCCAUGUUCCUGUGUGUAUGUUCCCAUGUUCCUGUGUGUGUGUUCCCAUGUUCCUGUGUGUGUGUUCCCAUGUUCCUGUGUGUGUGUUCUCGUGUUCCUGUGUGUGUGGGUUCUCAUGUUCCUGUGUGUGUGUUCCCAUGUUCCUGUGUGUGUGUUCCCAUGUUCCUGUGUGUAUGUUCCCAUGUUCCUGUGUGUGUGUUCUCGUGUUCCUGUGUGUGUGGGUUCUCAUGUUCCUGUGUGUGUGUUCCAAAGUUCCUGUGAGUAUGUUCCAAAGUUCCUGUGUGUGUGUUCCCAUGUUCCUGUGUGUGUGUUCUCAUGUUCCUGUGUGUGUGUUCCCAUGUUCCUGUGUGUAUGUUCCAAAGUUCCUAUGUGUAUGUUCCCAUGUUCCUGUGUGUGUGUUCUCAUGUUCCUGUGUGUGUGUUCUCAUGUUCCUGUGUGUGUGUUCCCAUGUUCCUGUGUGUAUGUUCCCAUGUUCCUGUGUGUGUGUUCCCAUGUUCCUGUGUGUAUGUUCUCAUGUUCCUGUGUGUAUGUUCCAAUGUUCCUGUGUGUAUGUUCCAAAGUUCCUGUGUCUAUGUUCCCAUGUUCCUGUGUGUGUGUUCCCAUGUUCCUGUGUGUAUGUUCCAAAGUUCCUGUGUGUGUGUUCCCAUGUUCCUGUGUGUAUGUUCUCAUGUUCCUGUGUGUGUGUUCUCAUGUUCCUGUGUGUGUGUUCCCAUGUUCCUGUGUGUAUGUUCCCAUGUUCCUGUGUGUGUGUUCCCAUGUUCCUGUGUGUGUGUUCCCAUGUUCCUGUGUGUAUGUUCUCAUGUUCCUGUGUGUAUGUUCCAAUGUUCCUGUGUGUAUGUUCCAAAGUUCCUGUGUGUAUGUUCCCAUGUUCCUGUGUGUGUGUUCCCAUGUUCCUGUGUGUAUGUUCCCAUGUUCCUGUGUGUGUGUUCCCAUGUUCCUGUGUGUGUGUUCCCAUGUUCCUGUGUGUGUGUUCAAAUGUUCCUGUGUGUAUGUUCCCAGGUUCCUGUGUGUGUGUUCUCAUGUUCCUGUGUGUGUGUUCCCAUGUUCCUGUGUGUAUGUUCCCAUGUUCCUGUGUGUGUGUUCCCAUGUUCCUGUGUGUGUGUUCCCAUGUUCCUGUGUGUAUGUUCCCAUGUUCCUGUGUGUGUGUUCCCAUGUUCCUGUGUGUGUGUUCCCAUGUUCCUGUGUGUAUGUUCCCAUGUUCCUGUGUGUAUGUUCCCAUGUUCCUGUGUGUGUGUUCCCAUGUUCCUGUGUGUGUGUGUUUGUGUGAGUGUAUGCCCUCCGUGUGUGUGUGUGUGUGUUCUGGUGUAUGCAUGAGUAAGUCACACAUUUAUUCAUGUGUGAGCGUCUACUGUAUAUUCCCACACUCACAGAGUUGGUGCGAGUAUAUUCAAAUGAAUCCCAAAGCUGGAUAAAUGACUCUCUAUUUCAUUCAGCUUUAAUAAUCAGUGUUCAUUAUCUGUGUUAAAGGUCUUUAGUGUUAAAGGUGUUUAGUGUUAAAGGUGUUUAGUGUUAAAGGUCUUUAGUGUUAAAGGUGUUUAGUGUUAAAGGUCUUUAGUGUUAAAGGUGUUUAGUGUUAAAGGUCUUUAGUGUUAAAGGUCUUUAGUGUUAAAGGUCUUUAGUGUU
Molecule: long non-coding RNA, 4063 nt
Organism: Oncorhynchus kisutch (coho salmon)
Lineage: Eukaryota; Metazoa; Chordata; Actinopteri; Salmoniformes; Salmonidae
Source: Ensembl